CCAGAGGGUCGGGCGGCCGCGGGUGCGCAAGCACGCGAGGAAAGUCCGGGCUCCACGGAACGACGGUGCCGGGUAAUGCCCGGCGGGGGCGACCCCAGGGAAAGUGCCACAGAGAGCAGACCGCCUAAGCCCCUCGGGGCCGGCAAGGGUGAAAGGGUGCGGCAAGAGCGCACCGCGCGACCGGUAACGGAAGCGGCAUGGUAAACCCCACCGGGAGCAAGACCGAAUAGGGACGGCACAUGGGCCUCGUUCCGGCCCGUCGUCCGGGUUGGUUGCUUGAGCGGCGGAGCGAUCCGUCGCCUAGAGGAAUGGUCGCCCAUCCCCGAAAGGGGUGGACAGAACCCGGCUUACAGACCCUCUGGCAUA
RNAcentral lists this RNase P RNA (366 nucleotides) under Sphingomonas sp. Its description in RNAcentral is "RNase P RNA component class A". It matches the Rfam family "Bacterial RNase P class A". From Rfam's summary of the family: Ribonuclease P (RNase P) is a ubiquitous endoribonuclease, found in archaea, bacteria and eukarya as well as chloroplasts and mitochondria. Its best characterised activity is the generation of mature 5'-ends of tRNAs by cleaving the 5'-leader elements of precursor-tRNAs. The record is from RNAcentral. Lineage: Bacteria; Pseudomonadati; Pseudomonadota; Alphaproteobacteria; Sphingomonadales; Sphingomonadaceae.